Molecule: ribosomal RNA, 479 nt
Filed under: Aoraki healyi
Lineage: Eukaryota; Metazoa; Arthropoda; Arachnida; Opiliones; Pettalidae
Description: partial 16S ribosomal RNA
Source: RNAcentral
UUCUUUUAGAAUUUAUUAAAAGUAAUUUCUGCUCAAUGAUAUAUUAAAUAGCUAUAUUUUAUACUAAGGUAGCAUAGUAAAUUGUCUAUUAAUUGUAGAAUAGAAUGAAAGAAAAAAUAGUUUGAAUCUGUCUUUAUAUAUUAUGUUUUAAAAUUAGAUUUUUUGUAAAAAUACAAAAGUAAAAUUUAGGGACAAGAAGACCCUAUAAAGCUUUAUAUUUGUAGUGAUUUUUUUACUAAAAGAUAUUUGAUUGGGGCAAUUUUUUACUUAAAGAAAAUGUAAAUAUAAAAAAAAUAUUAAACUAUAAUUAAUGAUCCAUUUAUAAUGAUUAAUUGAAAUAGUUACUUUAGGGAUAACAGGAUAAUUUUUGUUAAAAAGAUCAAAUUUAGAACAAAGUUUAUUACCUCGAUGUUGAAUUAAUUUAAUAAUACAGUGAAGAAGCUAUAUAUAUAUGACUGCUCGUCAAUUAAAUAAUUACA